UUCCACAGCUACUGGUCUGAAACUGUUCUGAACUGUAGCAGUUGCGGUAUUCCAUCUGUGGGAAAUAAACUGUUGCACAGUAUCACACUCCUUUCUCAGACCUGAUGAAAGGGACUCCUGUGUAACAGACAAAA
RNAcentral lists this small nucleolar RNA (134 nucleotides) under Sphenodon punctatus (tuatara). RNAcentral's name for it is "Small nucleolar RNA SNORA41 (ENSSPUG00000001731.1)". It matches the Rfam family "Small nucleolar RNA SNORA41". From Rfam's summary of the family: ACA41 is a member of the H/ACA class of snoRNA that guide the sites of modification of uridines to pseudouridines. The record is from Rfam by way of RNAcentral. Lineage: Eukaryota; Metazoa; Chordata; Lepidosauria; Sphenodontia; Sphenodontidae.